GACGAACGCUGGCGGCGUGCCUAAUACAUGCAAGUAGAGCGCUGAAGGAUGGUCUUUGUCCUCACUGGAAGUGGCGCGCACGGGUGUGUCACGUGUGGGGAAUCUCUCUUUGCGCGGGGGACCACUUUUGGAAACGAAUGCUUAUACCACAUAAAAACAUUAAACAUAAGAUUUAAUUAUGAAAUAUGCUAUCGCCACACCCAAAGGUAACUCCGCGUUGUAUUAGCUAGUUGGUGAGGUAAAGGCUCACCAAGGCGAUGAUACAUAGCCGACCUGAGAGGGUGAUCGGCCACAUUGGGACUGAGACACGGCCCAAACUCCUACGGGAGGCAGCAGUAGGGAAUCUUCGGCAAUGGACGAAAGUCUGACCGAGCAACGCCGCGUGAGUGAAGAAGGGUUUCGGAUCGUAAAACUCUGUUGGUAGAGAAGAACGUUGGUGAGAGUGGAAAGCUCAUCAAGUGACGGUAACUACCCAGAAAGGGACGGCUAACUACGUG
Molecule: ribosomal RNA, 497 nt
Filed under: uncultured bacterium
Lineage: Bacteria
Description: partial 16S ribosomal RNA
Rfam family: Bacterial small subunit ribosomal RNA
Source: RNAcentral